GAUGAACGCUGGCGGCGUGCCUAAUACAUGCAAGUCGAGCGAACGGACUAUAACCUUGCUUCUCUGAUGUUAGCUACGGACGAUUGAGUGCCACGUGGAUAACCUCCCUAUAAUACUGUGAUUACUUCGUUAAACCGGCGCUAAUACCCGGUAAUAUUUUGAACCUCAUGUUUCAAAAGUACAAGACAUUCUUGCUAUCACUUCUAUAUUGAUUCGCGCUGCAUUAGCUAGUUGGUAAGUUAACGGCUUACCAAGGCAACGAUGCAUAGCCGACAUGAGAGGGUGAUUGGACAGACUGGAACUGAGAGACGGUCCAGACACGUAAGGGAGGCAGCAGUAGGGAAUCUUACGCAAUGGGCGAAAGCGUGACGGAGCAAAGCCGAGUGAGUGAUGAAGGUCUUAGGAUCGGAAAACUAUGUUAUUAGGGAAGAACAUAUGUGUAAGUAACUGUGAACAUAUUGACGGUACCUAAUCAGAAAGCCACGGCUAACUACGUG
RNAcentral lists this ribosomal RNA (497 nucleotides) under uncultured bacterium. RNAcentral describes it as "partial 16S ribosomal RNA". It matches the Rfam family "Bacterial small subunit ribosomal RNA", at positions 28 to 507 of the family's 1533-position model. The record is from RNAcentral.